Long non-coding RNA from Drosophila ananassae, 2019 nucleotides. RefSeq lists it as uncharacterized. The record is from RefSeq and is a predicted model, not a curated record. NCBI's taxonomy places the organism in Eukaryota, Metazoa, Arthropoda, Insecta, Diptera, Drosophilidae. The transcript is spliced from 2 exons.
AAACAUGUUUGACGAGCAACACAGUUUAUUCGUUUCAGUGUGGACGAAUUUUUUGAAGCGAACGUACAACGGUCAUAAAAUUAGACAGUUACAAUUAGUUAUUAUUUGUAGCGCAUGCACUUUGGGAGCUUUGGUAGAGCUCAAGCUGUUAGUUAGGCACUUGUAUUUUGGAGUUGAUAUUGACCGGCCGCUACCUUGAUUUGUUGAACGGAAUUAACCCCAAAUAAAGAUUGAAAUUUAAUCGUGAACCCCUAUUGAUUAAAGUUAUCAAAAAGCUGGCAGCGUUGCAUAAAUCUUUCACGACCCUGUCAAAGGAUGACGUUGCUAGGGACCUGUAAAACGAUCUAAAGGGCCUUUUAUUUUGAGUACACAGUGGCGAACAAACCGUGUCAAAAACAGUUUUUUACAUAUUUGCCUCACUCACUCUCUUAGUUGAAAAACUGAUUUUGUCGAUUUGAAUUUUUGGCUUAAAUUAAAACAACGCUAGUAAACAGUUCAUAUGUAUAUGCUCAAAGCCCAAAAUGUACAAAACCGGUCUCAGUAGAGCUGGGGAAAAAUCGAUGUCAACAUCGAUUACAUUGAUUCUUUUUUUUUAGUCCGAUGCAUCCAUUCGGAUUUCAGGGAAUCGAUCCGCUGGACUAUUGGAAGAUUAACGCCACUGAAAUGAACACCCUUAAAGGAUGUGCCCAGCACUACCUAUGCAUACCUGAGUGCUCAACUGAGUGCGAGCGCAUAUUCAGUAGGGCCUGAUGCAUAGUCAGUGAAAAACGCGCCUCUCAAACCAAAAACGGUUGAUAAGCUAAUUUUUGCAAGCAAAAACCAAUGGCUAAAAGAAAUUUAAAUGCUUUGCUUAUUUUUAAAACCAUUAUUUUUAUUUAUUUUUUUUCUUGUUCUUAUUUUUGUUUUUUAGCUUUUUAAGUUCAUAGUUCAGUUUAUUUUUCACAAUUUAUAAGAUUUGAUCUCACUGAAAAAAAAAUUGUUUUUUUUUUUUUUCGAUUUAAUCGUAGUUUUUUUUUUUUUUAAAUCGAAAAGAAUCGAUGUACCGAGAAUCGAUUUUCCCCAGCUCUAGGUCUCAGAAAAGAGAGUUUAAAGACACUUCUAUAUUUCACUUUUAGUUCCAUUUUUCACUUUCUUUUGUAUCUGUAUUCGGACAUUUAUUAAAACCUUGAUCAUUGCCCGACGAUUAUUAACAUUUUAAAGACAAUUACUUUAGUACAUCAAAAUAAUAAACAUGCAAAUAAUCAAACUGACCAAAUUCGAAGUGUAACAUUUUAAGUAUUUUGUAAUAAUAAAAUGUAAUAUUUCAUAAAAAAUAUAAUAUAAUAAAAAUAUACAAUUUUUAUGCAUAUAAAUUUUUCAUUGUGAUUGGAAAGCACAAACAAAAAUGAAAAAAGGAACUAGAUAAAAAACAUUUUUUUUUAAUUUUGGUGAGUACAUUUAUUUUUUUUGUUGUGGCCGAUGUAAACAAUCGGAGCAGGGCUGUCACCUAGGGAAGGAAAAGGGUCGCAGGGUUGCCACCUAGGGAAGGAAAAGGGUCGCAGGGCUGCCACCUAGUUACGAGCAGGGAAAUUUUGGGAUAAGAGGGUUGAUGACCUGGUUCGGAUCGGGUCUGGAACAACGGUCCGAUCCGAAUGACCAUGCCAGGUAAAGAUGGCAGAGAAGGUGAUUUGAAAAGCAGUGGUCAAGCGGUGCGGUCGUAGACAUAUAAAAUAAAAAAAAAGAGGAAGACAAGAAAAAAAAAGGAACUUUCUCAUGUUUUGUGGCGUAAUUAAUGGGCUUCUUCAUUCCAGGACCGACCAGACUCGCAUCUCCAGGGGAAGAAGCCAGGCCGUAAAAAAAAAAACUAGGCCUGGCGUUUUUUUUUUAUGGGGGAUUUAAAAAAGUCUCAAAAAUCAAGAAACCUAACGGUCGUUUGAUCCCCCCUUUUUUUUCCUAUUGAUUUUGGCGCCGCGGUUUUUUUUUUGCGCCUUGCUAAGGAUUGAAGCCGGAACUGAAUGUGAUUGCGAAGGGCGGCUGAAA